RNAcentral lists this non-coding RNA (65 nucleotides) under Gordonia bronchialis. RNAcentral also lists the same sequence under 1 other name. The record is from RNAcentral. Lineage: Bacteria; Bacillati; Actinomycetota; Actinomycetes; Mycobacteriales; Gordoniaceae.
ACGGUGAUCAGAGACGAUCACCGGACGAGGUGCGCCGUACCCGGCCAGCGACAAGACGGCGCCUG